CAAUAGCGUAUAUUAAAGUUGUUGCAGUUAGAACGCUCGUAGUCGGAUUUCGGGGCGGGCCGACCGGUCUGCCGAUGGGUAUGCACUGGUCGGCGCGUCCUUCCUUCCGGAGACCGUCCCUACUCUUAACUGAGCGGGGGCGGGAGACGGGACUUUUACUUUGAAAAAAUCAGAGUGUUUCAAGCAGGCAGCUCGCUCCUGCAUGGAUUAGCAUGGGAUAAUGAAAUAGGACUUUGGUGCUAUUUUGUUGGUUUCGAACACCGAAGUAAUGAUGAGAAGGGACAGUCAGGGGCACUCGUAUUCCGCCGAGAGAGGUGAAAUUCUCAGACCAGCGGAAGACGAACCACUGCGAAAGCAUUUGCCAGGGAUGUUUUCACUGA
RNAcentral lists this ribosomal RNA (380 nucleotides) under uncultured eukaryote. RNAcentral's name for it is "partial 18S ribosomal RNA". It matches the Rfam family "Eukaryotic small subunit ribosomal RNA", at positions 592 to 976 of the family's 1831-position model. The record is from RNAcentral.